CGUUCUUUCCGUCCCGGCCGGCGACCGGCGCGACGGUGNGAACACGUAUGCAACCUGCCCCUGUCAGGGGGACAACCCGCCGAAAGGCGGGCUAAACCCGCGUACAUGCCACCGGGGCAUCCCGGAGGCAGGAAAGGCUUCGGCCGGACAGGGAUGGGCAUGCGGCGCAUUAGGCAGUAGGCGGGGUAACGGCCCACCUAACCGACGAUGCGUAGGGGUUCUGAGAGGAAGGUCCCCCACACUGGUACUGAGACACGGACCAGACUCCUACGGGAGGCAGCAG
RNAcentral lists this ribosomal RNA (283 nucleotides) under uncultured bacterium. RNAcentral's name for it is "partial 16S ribosomal RNA". It matches the Rfam family "Bacterial small subunit ribosomal RNA", at positions 70 to 354 of the family's 1533-position model. The record is from RNAcentral.